CCUACGGGUGUCAGCAGUGGGGAAUAUUGCACAAUGGGGGGAACCCUGAUGCAGCGACGCCGCGUGCGUGAAGAAGUAUUUCGGUACGUAAAGCUCUAUCAGCAGGGAAGAAAAAGGGACGGUCUCUGAGUAAGACGCCCCGGCUAACUACGUGCCAGCCGCCGGUGUCAUACGUCGGGGGCAAGCGUUCUCCGGAAUUACUGGGUGUAACGGGAGCGUAGACGGCAAUGCAAGUCCGGUGUGGAAUGCGACAGCUCAACUGCCGAACUGCUGUGGAAACUGUAUAGCUAGAGUGCAGGAGAGGUAAGCGGAAUUCCUGGUGGAGCGGUGAAAUGCGUAGAUAUCAGGAGGAACACCGGUGGCGAAGGCGGCUUACUGGACUGUAACUGACGUUGAGGCUCGAAAGCGUGGGGAGCAAACAGGAUUAGAUACCCUAGUAGUC
RNAcentral lists this ribosomal RNA (442 nucleotides) under uncultured bacterium. Its description in RNAcentral is "partial 16S ribosomal RNA". It matches the Rfam family "Bacterial small subunit ribosomal RNA", at positions 338 to 795 of the family's 1533-position model. The record is from RNAcentral.